UGCUCUAAAGUAUUCGAAUGGAAAAACUAACUUAAAAGACACUACAUAAACUAUGCACUGGUGGAACUAUUCAUAAGACCAGAGCAAAUAUACAAUCAGCUAGCUGAAGUCAUUUCGAAAUAUAGAGAAUGGCUAUAGAUUCGGGUCUUAGAUCAACGUUGUUGCCACUUUUCCUCCUCGCCAUGGUCCUCUCUCCAGCAUUGCCAGCUGAGGCAGCUCGACUCCCUCAUCGAGAGCUGCUUGGAGGAGGAGCACUAUGUGUUGCUUGUGUAUGCUGUACUCGACCACCACCAGGAAAGUGCUGUGCCAAGUGUUGCGCCUCUCCUAUAGUUGAUCAAUCUCGAACUGCUUCUCCAUGAGAUUCAUCGAUAAAUAUAUGAUCAAAUAGUGAUGUUCUGAAGCUGGUCAAUGAAUGAUCUUACAUGUCUAAAACUAUCUUAUGGUUCAUGUAUUAAUAAUAUGGAUGUAAAUUCCUCUGUUGUGGGUGUUGCUGUUUUCUCACUACUGUUAUCAGUUUGAAGUUUGGAAAAUUAUUCAUUUGGUUGUUUGAUGGUGAGCUUCCCAUCUCUGCACGUGCUUAUGUUAACUUCUUUUUCUUCUAAUAUAAUUAUUCUUUAUCUU
Long non-coding RNA from Daucus carota subsp. sativus, 621 nucleotides. RefSeq lists it as uncharacterized. The transcript is spliced from 2 exons. The record is from RefSeq and is a predicted model, not a curated record. Lineage: Eukaryota; Viridiplantae; Streptophyta; Magnoliopsida; Apiales; Apiaceae.